UUCAAUAAGCGGAGGAAAAGAAACCAACAGGGAUUGCCCUAGUAACGGCGAGUGAAGCGGCAACAGCUCAAAUUUGAAAUCUGGCUCUUUCAGAGUCCGAGUUGUAAUUUGCAGAGGGCGCUUUGGCUUUGGCAGCGGUCCAAGUUCCUUGGAACAGGACGUCACAGAGGGUGAGAAUCCCGUACGUGGUCGCUAGCUAUUGCCGUGUAAAGCCCCUUCGACGAGUCGAGUUGUUUGGGAAUGCAGCUCUAAAUGGGAGGUAAAUUUCUUCUAAAGCUAAAUAUUGGCCAGAGACCGAUAGCGCACAAGUAGAGUGAUCGAAAGAUGAAAAGCACUUUGGAAAGAGAGUCAAACAGCACGUGAAAUUGUUGAAAGGGAAGCGCUUGCAGCCAGACAUGCUUGCAGUUGCUCAUCCGGGCUUUUGCCCGGUGCACUCUUCUGUAGGCAGGCCAGCAUCAGUUUGGGCGGUGGGAUAAAGGUCUCUGUCACGUACCUCUCUUCGGGGAGGCCUUAUAGGGGAGACGACAUACCACCAGCCUAGACUGAGGUCCGCGCAUCUGCUAGGAUGCUGGCGUAAUGGCUGUAAGCGGCCCGUCUUGAAACACGGACCAAGGAGUCUAACAUCUAUGCGAGUGUUUGGGUGUCAAGCCCGAGCGCGUAAUGAAAGUGAACGGAGGUGGGAACCCGCAAGGGUGCACCAUCGACCGAUCCUGAAGUUUACGGAAGGAUUUGAGUAAGAGCAUGGCUGUUGGGACCCGAAAGAUGGUGAACUAUGCUUGAAUAGGGUGAAGCCAGAGGAAACUCUGGUGGAGGCUCGCAGCGGUUCUGACGUGCAAAUCGAUCGUCAAAUUUGGGCAUAGGGGCGAAAGACUAAUCGAACUAUCUAGUAGCUGGU
This 895-nucleotide ribosomal RNA is filed under the name Bipolaris sp. RNAcentral's name for it is "partial large subunit ribosomal RNA". It matches the Rfam family "Eukaryotic large subunit ribosomal RNA", at positions 42 to 955 of the family's 3401-position model. The record is from RNAcentral. Lineage: Eukaryota; Fungi; Ascomycota; Dothideomycetes; Pleosporales; Pleosporaceae.